UUUGCGCAUGGGCGAANCCUGCGCAGCGACGCCGCGUGGGGGAUGAAGCUUCUCGGAGUGUAAACCCCUUUCGACCCGGACGAAUGACCCGCAAGGGUUUGACGGUACGGGUAUAAGAAGCCCCGGCUAACUACGUGCCAGCAGCCGCGGUAAUACGUAGGGGGCCAGCGUUGCUCGGAAUUACNUGGGCGUAAAGGGUUCGUAGGUGGUGCGGCAAGUUGGGAGUGAAAUCUCUGGGCUUAACUCAGAGGCUGCUUUCAAAACUGCCGCGCUCGAGUGCGAGAGAGGUCAGUGGAAUUGCAGGUGUAGCGGUGAAAUGCGUAGAUAUCUGCAGGAACACCCGUGGCGAAGGCGGCUGACUGGAUCGCAACUGACACUGAGGAACGAAAGCUAGGGGAGCAAACAGGAUUAGAUACCCUGGUAGUCCUAGCCCUAAACCAUCGGAACUUGGGGUGGCCCGCGUAGGCGGGUCGUCCCGUAGCUAACGCGUUAAGUUCCGCGCCUGGGGAGUACGGUCGCAAGACUGAAACUCAAAAGAAUUGACGGA
RNAcentral lists this ribosomal RNA (547 nucleotides) under uncultured bacterium. Its description in RNAcentral is "bacterial SSU rRNA". It matches the Rfam family "Bacterial small subunit ribosomal RNA", at positions 363 to 917 of the family's 1533-position model. The record is from RNAcentral.